AUUGAACGCUGGCGGCAUGCUUUACACAUGCAAGUCGAACGGCAGCGGGUCCUUCGGGAUGCCGGCGAGUGGCGAACGGGUGAGUAAUGCAUCGGAACGUACCGUGUAAUGGGGGAGUAACGUAGCGAAAGUUACGCUAAUACCGCAUAUUCUGUGAGCAGGAAAGCAGGGGAUCGCAAGACCUUGCGCUGAUUGAGCGGCCGAUAUCAGAUUAGCUAGUUGGUGAGGUAAAGGCUCACCAAGGCGACGAUCUGUAGCGGGUCUGAGAGGAUGAUCCGCCACACUGGAACUGAGACACGGUCCAGACUCCUACGGGAGGCAGCAGUAAGGAAUAUUGGACAAUGGCCGCAAGGCUGAUCCAGCCAUGCCGCGUGCAGGAAGACGGACCUAUGGUUUGUAAACUGCUUUUG
This 410-nucleotide ribosomal RNA is filed under the name uncultured bacterium. RNAcentral's name for it is "bacterial SSU rRNA". It matches the Rfam family "Bacterial small subunit ribosomal RNA", at positions 30 to 438 of the family's 1533-position model. The record is from RNAcentral.